UACGAAUCGAAGCUCCGACGACUCGCUUUUGCAAUCCCGGCGCGAACAGUAGCAAAUUCGCGAAGAUUACUUCGUUCUGGCGCAUCUCGGCAUUGACCCAUAUCAAAUCGGAGCCCGGUUCAUAAUACCCAUCCUUGUUCGAAGCUAGAAUUAAGUUACCCAUUACUUUUCGGUAUCGAACCAGCAAGCUCGAAGCUUCUCGAACCCGGAUUUGGAAGCUCAAGCCUCCUCGGCGUCGAACCACUCCUUACCCAAGAGGUUUUAUGGUGAGAUAGUAGGAACCCUUCGGUGAACUUGGUAGCGCAUUAGAACUUUGUUUUCGCAGGUAUCGAGCUAGCUCCUGGGAUGGUGAUGGC
Molecule: non-coding RNA, 356 nt
Organism: Momordica charantia (bitter melon)
Lineage: Eukaryota; Viridiplantae; Streptophyta; Magnoliopsida; Cucurbitales; Cucurbitaceae
Source: RefSeq, a predicted model, not a curated record